UACAGGUUUGCAAAAACUUGAGUGGGAGUAAAUGAUGACAGAAUUUUCAUUUGUGGGUGAACUAUCCCUUUAAUAUUAUUAAUAAACUAUAUAUUAAUGUGGAAAGUUGCUACGUUGUUUUUCAAAGCUACAGUUAGGCUAAUUAAUUUAAUUAGCAAAUGGAAUAAAAAGGAAUUAAAGCAAAUGGAAUAAAUGUUUAUUCUUAUGAUUAAUAUAUGGAACUAUGCAUAACAUUUGUUGUCUUUUAUCAUAAAAAAGCAAUAAUCCAAGACAGGCUGUGCAUUACAGGCUUAUUGCAUCAUUAUAUAAAUAACCUGAAACCAAGUUCUGUCAUAAUACUGAGGAAAUGUAUGCAGUAGCAUUAUGAUAUUUCAGGGUCGGAGUCUUUUUGACUGAUUUUCUAGCCUGGAAAACAGCAUUUUGAAAAUUUCUGAUUUUUAUAUGUUUUUCAUGAUUUGGGGAACCCCAAUACUAGUAGUAGUACCAAAUGGAAAAUGCCCAAACCAGUUUUUAUUAAAUAAUUUACAUUUAUAUUCUAAUAUUGCUUUAUUAUUUUUAUUAUUACUAACUCGCCCACUCAAAUAAAGUAAAACAUACAUUUCUGAAUCAGAAUUAUUUUUUUCAAAUCUUGCUUUAUCAUUAAUUACUAUUAAAAACAAUCACAUAAAGGAAACAUGCAGAGAGGGUUAAAAUAGAGUUGUUCCAGCGUCAUUUGCAUAACAAUGACAGCAACAACCCGCGCUGGUCUCUGACACGCCCCCCCCCGAGCAUCGCUUCAGAAAAUGAACAGGAUCAAAAGACGCCAAUAAUGACGCAACAUCCCCUUGCAGCAAGAUCUCAAGUGUCCAAACUCCAAACAGUCCUUAUGAGCUUUUCUCCUGCCUUUCAAUGGCUGUGGCGCUCUACAAGUCUCAACUUCACCUGGCAUCACUCACAAGGUUUCACUGACAGCUACAAAGACUGGAAUUUGUGGCCGUUGAUCCGGUAGCAUAACAGUACUUAUUUUUUUUUUUUUUUUUUUUUUUUUUUUUACAAAGCAAUGUCUAAACAAAUGUCUUUAAAUUGAGUGGUUCUGUAACCCCGGCAGGCCUCAUUCGUUCCUAUGGCAACAAUUACUCCCCGUAGACUUUGCUAAUCCUGAAAUAUGGACCUGUGACUAAUGUUGGAAUUUAGCAAGAAAUCAGCUCUUGUUUCACGAGGCUUUAUUGGAAUAAAGCAUGAUGCGGUCUGUGUGAUGAAUGCGCCCAGGCAAAGUGACUGGGCUGGGCCUCUGCCUCCUUGUCUUUCACUAUCACUUUAGUGCUAGUGCUGAUUGGAAGUGUCACAGAAGCAUGUAACAAGCCUCUUCAGCUCAUUGCCAAAGAGAUAAGUUGUCAUGUCAACGGCAAUUCUAUACAACGUACGUCUGAGAUCUGCUAGAUGUGUUUUCCUUUAGAAAAGGCAUAAAGAGUUUUUUUUUUUUUUUCUUUUUCCCCAGUGUCCUUGAACUACUGUCUACUGUAACUAUAACUGAGGUGGAUGUUGAGUAAAAUGUGUAUUUUAUUUUGUGUUUGAGGAAUUUUGAACUGGCAAACAGGAACAAAGAACGUGGCAAGAAAUGCUAGCAAUUACAACAUUCUGUGGAAAAACAAAACAUAUUAAUAAUAUACAAAAUAUUAUAAUAAAUAUAAAAACAACAGAAUUUUAAGAAAAAAUCACAAUGCACACAAUUCUUUCAUAUACAAUAAAGUUGCAGGUACAUUAGUGGAAUUUAAUUUGCAGGCAAAAAAUACAUGAAGCAAAGC
Long non-coding RNA from Megalobrama amblycephala (Wuchang bream), 1784 nucleotides. RefSeq lists it as uncharacterized. The record is from RefSeq and is a predicted model, not a curated record. The transcript has 3 exons. Lineage: Eukaryota; Metazoa; Chordata; Actinopteri; Cypriniformes; Xenocyprididae.